Molecule: non-coding RNA, 211 nt
Organism: Beggiatoa sp.
Lineage: Bacteria; Pseudomonadati; Pseudomonadota; Gammaproteobacteria; Thiotrichales; Thiotrichaceae
Source: Rfam
GUAACUGUCCAUAAAUAACUUGCUCGACGAAAGUUAUUUUAAAGUUACCCGUCUAAGUUCUUAGGGAACUACGUUAGGAAUGAAAAUAUAGGCACCUUGGGAUGCAUCUCCAGUCCCAAGCACUGCGGGAAGUCAUUAAACAGGUCUGGUGGAAAGGCUAGUGUGGCUUUCAGAUAAAACCAUUCUAUAACAUUGACUAGGAGACCAUUAC